RNAcentral lists this signal recognition particle RNA (296 nucleotides) under Vombatus ursinus (common wombat). RNAcentral's name for it is "Metazoan signal recognition particle RNA (ENSVURG00010009769.1)". It matches the Rfam family "Metazoan signal recognition particle RNA". Rfam says of the family: The signal recognition particle (SRP) is a universally conserved ribonucleoprotein. It is involved in the co-translational targeting of proteins to membranes. The eukaryotic SRP consists of a 300-nucleotide 7S RNA and six proteins: SRPs 72, 68, 54, 19, 14, and 9. The record is from Rfam by way of RNAcentral. Lineage: Eukaryota; Metazoa; Chordata; Mammalia; Diprotodontia; Vombatidae.
AUGGGGUGUGGUGGUGUACACCUGAAAUUCCUGCUACUGUGGGAAGUUUAGGCUGGUGAAUUGCUUGAGUUUGGGAGUUCUGGACUGCAGUAGAGCUAAAGGUGAUAGGUUAUCCUCACCAAGUCUAGCAUCAGUAUGGUAAACCCCCAGGAAAAGGGGACUACCAGGCUAGCUAAGAAGAGGUAAGCUGGCUUAGACUGGAAACAGAGCAGGUCAAAACUUUUGUGUCCACCAGCAAUGGGAUUGGGCCCAUAAGUGGCCUCUGUACUUCUAGCAUGAGUGAGAAAGGGAGAAGG